Molecule: transfer RNA, 71 nt
Filed under: Camelus bactrianus (Bactrian camel)
Lineage: Eukaryota; Metazoa; Chordata; Mammalia; Artiodactyla; Camelidae
Also listed under: 3 other names
Rfam family: tRNA
About the family: Transfer RNA (tRNA) molecules are approximately 80 nucleotides in length.
Source: Rfam by way of RNAcentral
GGGGAUAGCUCAAGUGGUAGAGCAUAUGCUUAGCAUGCAUGGGGUCCUGAGUUCAAUCCCCAGUACCUCCU